Candoia aspera is the source of this 1951-nucleotide long non-coding RNA. RefSeq lists it as uncharacterized. Lineage: Eukaryota; Metazoa; Chordata; Lepidosauria; Squamata; Candoiidae. The transcript has 3 exons. The record is from RefSeq and is a predicted model, not a curated record.
CUCAACCCAAUUUUUUCCUAAUGACAACCUUAUGAGGUAGGUUGAAGAACGAGUGACUGCCCAAGAAUUUCAUGAUUCUCGGGAAAACUCUGAUAUAAGAUGAUGUGCGCAUGAAGUAACACCAACAAUUUGUGGUGAAAGUACAAAAGCAAAGAGAGAGCUAAAGGCUGGAAGAUUGAGGGAUAUAACAUGCAAUUUGUCUGUUGGGAAUUCUGCUUGCCAUCACUUAUCGUUCCACCUGUAACCCGGUCCUUAUCCAAAGGGGCAGCUUCUGGGAAGUCACAACCAGAACAAGGAAACAGGGAACAUUUCUUUGGAAGUUUGGCAAAGGGAGUUGGCAGAGAAGGAUCCAAGGAACUUGGGCAGCAAGGGAAGCAUCAUUGUGAUCUGCAAAAUGGGUGCAAUGUUUGCAGUUCUGCCUGAAGAGGAAUCAGACCAUACUUGCUGUAGUGUAAUCUAAGAAAUCUAUUGGAGAAGAAAAUCAUGGGGCUUGAGAAGAGUUGCUACAUUGAAAUGCAUCAGGGAAGAUGAGAGGUUCCUGGACAGAAUAGCUGAAGCUCUCCAGGAAGAGCAAAGAAAUGAAAAAAACAGCAAAGACCAGGAACAACUCCAUUUGGCAGAGAUAAACACAUGGAAGAAUGUGACUCAGAGAAGCAAGUGGAACUCAGACUCCCCUUCUAGAGAAUGAACAGCAGCUCUUUGAGCAAACUAUGCCAUAGAACAUUGUAGAAGACACUUGAGACCUCAUGAAUUAAAGUAACCCAAGAGCCGUCCUGAGAAAGAAGAGUUAUGUCAUGAUGAGUGAUUCCCCAAGAGGAGCUAAGGCAGCUGUAUGCAGACAUGAUUUGUUGUUGUGGGAGUUGUGUUGUUUUCCAGUUGCCUGUAUAUAGGAUGUGAUGAGAUUACCAAAAUUUUUCAGACUUACCAACAACUAUCCUUUUCCCUUGAUCCACAUCAGGAUGAAUGACACAGCCAGAUGAGAUCUUGGAAAACAAUCUGUGUAGAUUAUAAUGCCUUAGGCAAAAAGGUGAAAAAUUGGGACCACAGGUUGUUUUUUAAUCAAUACUUCCAGCUAAGAGGCAUGGCACAAGCAGAGAAAAGAGGAUCGUGGAAGUCAACAAGUGCAUCAGAUGACCAGUCUUUCAAAGAGGCAUGCAAUAGUGAUAAGGAGUGAUUUCAAUUACCUCGACAUCUGCUGGGAAUUGAACUCUGCCAAGGGUCAGAGAUACAAACAAUUCUUUUCCUCUCUUGCUGACCACUUCAUUUGUCAGAAGGUAGAAGGAAGAACAAAUAAGUCUGCUAUUCCAUGUGUAAUCCUCAUCAACUCUGGGUAAUUUGUUGAAGAAGAGUGUGACAGACACCUUGUAGGGAAGUGAUCUUGUUAUCCUUGAAUUUGUGAUGGUCAAAGGAGGAGGAACUGAAAAGAGUAACACCUGCAUACUCAACUUCAGAAGAGUUGAUUGUGAUGAACUCUAAGGGAAAGUAGGUUAGAGCCAAAGACUUCAAAUCCUGAAGGAGAAAAGUGUCCAGACAGGAUGGGAAGUUCUGUGAAAUGAGAUACUGAAGAUGCAGUUGCAAGCAAUUCCCACAAGAAAGAAAAAUGUGAGAAAUCUAAAAGAGGCCAAUGUGAAUACAUGCAGAGCUCUCUAAAAAUGUUGAAAAGAAAAAGGGACAUGUAUAGGAGAUGAAAGGAGGGGAACAUAACCAAAGAAGAAUACAAGGUAGUCUCCAAAAACUGUAGAAACUGUCAGAAAAGCUAAAGUUCAGAAUUGCAAGAGACACAGAAGAGAGAGAGACACACACACACAAACAAAAAAGAGUCUCUGGUAAUGUUAAAAAGAAAGCCAAAGAAGAAGUAUUAGGGGAACAUACUGCACCCGGACCGCAACAAAGCCUUUGAUAGAGUGCCUCAUAAUAUUCGUCAUAAAAUGAGAAAAUGUGGGUUGGAUGA